GCUUUGUGACUAGCAGGAGAUCUUGCUGAGAGCAGUAGUUAUAGUAGUAGAAUAAAAAGUGUCUGAAGCCAUUUCUUUACUAUAACCUAACUUAUGCUACCUAAACCAUUAUAUUUUCUGAAAACAAACAACUGAGCAAAAAUCUGUUAAUUUGCCUGAAACAGAACGCUAUAAAACUGGCAAGCUACAGAAAGUACUGCCAUGUCCACCAUGCAGACUUUGGUAAAGAAGAGGUAGUCAUGUUACCUUCACAACAGUCAUCUGAUUGCAUGAUCAGUUUGAAGCCAGGAGGCCAAAUUCUAGCAAAGAAAUCGUAUUUCAUGUCUAGAUACAAUUUAGCCAUUCUCAAGAAAUAUUUGCAUACCAAUAUCAAAAAAGGAUUUAUUACCCUUCCAACUCACCAGCACUGGCAGCCAAAAACAAGGAAAAACACCAACCACUCUAAAGGAUGAUUCUAAUUCAUGAUUAUAAAGAUCUAAACAGGUUAAAAAUUAGAAGCUAUCAUCCACUCCUCCUUAUCUCAGAUCUUUUAGAUCAGCUAUAAAAAAACACAGAUCUUUAUAAAACUAGACUUCAGGAGUGCUCAAACAGAAUGUAAAAAAGGACAUGAAUAUUUAAUAACCUUCAAUACAAGAUGCGGAAAGUUUGAAUACACAGCGAUACCUUUCAGUCUGGUUAACUAUGGAGCUGCUUUUUUUCUAGAUCUAAUAUUUUCAAAAAUAGUACUGUACUAAUAUGUACUUAGAUGACAUAUUAGUUUAUUCUGAAUAUCCCCUCUUGUAUGUCACCCAUGUCAGAAAUGUAUUGCAAAAAUUACAGGACAAUAAACUUUGCCAAACUAGAAAAAUGCA
Molecule: long non-coding RNA, 851 nt
Organism: Pantherophis guttatus
Lineage: Eukaryota; Metazoa; Chordata; Lepidosauria; Squamata; Colubridae
Source: RefSeq, a predicted model, not a curated record